RNAcentral lists this ribosomal RNA (254 nucleotides) under uncultured bacterium. Its description in RNAcentral is "partial 16S ribosomal RNA". It matches the Rfam family "Bacterial small subunit ribosomal RNA", at positions 524 to 776 of the family's 1533-position model. The record is from RNAcentral.
GACGAACCGUGCGAACGUUGUUCGGAAUCACUGGGCUUAAAGGGCGCGUAGGCGGCGGCGUAAGUUCGUGGUGAAAUCCCAUCGGCUCAACCGUGGAAUCGCUUCGAAUACUGCGUCGCUCGAGGGAGAUAGGGGACCGCAGAACUGCCGGUGGAGCGGUGAAAUGUGUUGAUAUCGGCGGGAAUGCCAGUGCCGAAAGGGGCGGUCUGGACCUCUUCUGACGCUGAGGCGCGAAAGCUAGGGGAGCGAACGGG